CCUCCUCUUCGUGGCGGGGUUCGGGCCUGCGGUCCCGGUCCCCUUAAUGUACGGAGGCAGAGGGAGAGGGCUCCGGCCCCCUCGGCGUCAUGCCUUCGGUGCCGACGGUUGCCAGUCCGCCGGUUCUAUCCUCAAGCGCCGGGACACGG
This is a small nucleolar RNA of Myotis lucifugus (little brown bat), 149 nucleotides long. Ensembl annotates it as small nucleolar RNA SNORA57. Lineage: Eukaryota; Metazoa; Chordata; Mammalia; Chiroptera; Vespertilionidae. The record is from Ensembl.